RNAcentral lists this ribosomal RNA (301 nucleotides) under uncultured bacterium. Its description in RNAcentral is "partial 16S ribosomal RNA". It matches the Rfam family "Bacterial small subunit ribosomal RNA", at positions 509 to 807 of the family's 1533-position model. The record is from RNAcentral.
CAGCCGCCGCGGUAAUACGCAGGGUGCGAGCGUUGUCCGGAAUCAUUGGGCGUAAAGAGCUUGUAGGUGGUUUGUCGCGUCUGCUGUGAAAAUCCGAGGCUCAACCUCGGGCUUGCAGUGGGUACGGGCAGACUAGAGUGUGGUAGGGGAGACUGGAAUUCCUGGUGUAGCGGUGGAAUGCGCAGAUAUCAGGAGGAACACCGAUGGCGAAGGCAGGUCUCUGGGCCAUUACUGACACUGAGAAGCGAAAGCAUGGGGAGCGAACAGGAUUAGAUACCCCGGUAGUCCCUGUCUCUUAUAC